This 497-nucleotide ribosomal RNA is filed under the name uncultured bacterium. RNAcentral's name for it is "partial 16S ribosomal RNA". It matches the Rfam family "Bacterial small subunit ribosomal RNA", at positions 28 to 507 of the family's 1533-position model. The record is from RNAcentral.
GAUGAACGCUGGCGGCGUGCCUAAUACAUGCAAGUCGAGCGAACGGACGAGAAGCUUGCUUCUCUGAUGUUAGCGGCGGACGGGUGAGUAACACGUGGAUAACCUACCUAUAGGACUGGGAUAACUUCGGGAAACCGGAGCUAAUACCGGAUAAUAUUUUGAACCGCAUGGUUCAAAAGUGAAAGACGGUCUUGCUGUCACUUAUAGAUGGAUCCGCGCUGCAUUAGCUAGUUGGUAAGGUAACGGCUUACCAAGGCAACGAUGCAUAGCCGACCUGAGAGGGUGAUCGGCCACACUGGAACUGAGACACGGUCCAGACUCCUACGGGAGGCAGCAGUAGGGAUUCUUCCGCAAUGGGCGAAAGCCUGACGGAGCAACGCCGCGUGAGUGAUGAAGGUCUUCGGAUCGUAAAACUCUGUUAUUAGGGAAGAACAUAUGUGUAAGUAACUGUGCACAUCUUGACGGUACCUAAUCAGAAAGCCACGGCUAACUACGUG